RNAcentral lists this ribosomal RNA (215 nucleotides) under uncultured Glomus. Its description in RNAcentral is "partial small subunit ribosomal RNA". The stretch from base 38 to 215 matches the Rfam family "Eukaryotic small subunit ribosomal RNA", at positions 684 to 864 of the family's 1831-position model. Lineage: Eukaryota; Fungi; Glomeromycota; Glomeromycetes; Glomerales; Glomeraceae. The record is from RNAcentral.
GGAUUAGUACGCUGGUCGUGCCUUCGGUACGUACUGGUGUUACUGAUUCCUACCUUCUGACGAACCAUCAUGUCAUUAAUUUGGUGUGGCGGGGAAUCAGGACUGUUACUUUGAAAAAAUUAGAGUGUUUAAAGCAGGCUCGCGCUUGAAUACAUUAGCAUGGAAUAAUGAGAUAGGACGUUGAUCCUAUUUUGUUGGUUUCUAGGAUUGACGUA